RNAcentral lists this ribosomal RNA (253 nucleotides) under uncultured bacterium. RNAcentral describes it as "partial 16S ribosomal RNA". It matches the Rfam family "Bacterial small subunit ribosomal RNA", at positions 524 to 776 of the family's 1533-position model. The record is from RNAcentral.
UACGUAGGGCGCAAGCGUUGUCCGGAAUUAUUGGGCGUAAAGAGCUCGUAGGCGGUCUGUUACGUCCGCUGGGAAAACUCGGGGCUUAACCCCGAGCCUGCAGUGGAUACGGGCAGACUAGAGGUAGGUAGGGGAGAAUGGAAUUCCCGGUGUAGCGGUGAAAUGCGCAGAUAUCGGGAGGAACACCGGUGGCGAAGGCGGUUCUCUGGGCCUUUCCUGACGCUGAGGAGCGAAAGCGUGGGGAGCGAACAGG